This 1286-nucleotide long non-coding RNA is filed under the name Manihot esculenta (cassava). RNAcentral describes it as "long non-coding RNA (MESC_LNC007622)". The record is from RNAcentral. Lineage: Eukaryota; Viridiplantae; Streptophyta; Magnoliopsida; Malpighiales; Euphorbiaceae.
AAAAUCAGAUUGAAUCAAGUUAUUUAGAAACCUGACAUAGGAUGUAAACACGUGUGUCAAAAUGUAUCAUCAUUUACUGAACCUUCAGCCACAAACAGAAAAACAGAGGUUCACCCAAUAACAAUGGAAGUGAUUUUCCUGAAGUUUACGAGAGCCCAGUUCACAAGAGGCAACAAGACCCUGCUUUUUUCAUCAGGUUAAAAUUAAACUAGAAGCCUUCUCAAACAUAUGCUGUUGCUUCACUAUUAGCAGCAACAUAUAAUCAUUCACUGAGCAACAGAGAAAAAAGUUGUGGAACACCGAAACAACUUAACUAGAGAUUUCAUCUUAAAUAACAAGUUAAGAAGUAUAAAUCAAUCUCAAUCAUGACAAUAAGAAAUCAAAUAGUAACUCUAAAUAUGCGAAUCAAUUAAAUAGCAACAGGACGGCAGAUAUAAACAGUUCAUUUGUCAAAAUGUAUCAUCAUUUACUGAACCUUCAGCCACAAACAGAAAAACAGAGGUUCACCCAAUAACAAUGGAAGUGAUUUUCCUGAAGUUUACGAGAGCCCAGUUCACAAGAGACAACAAGACCCUGCUUUUUUCAUCAGGUUAAAAUUAAACUAGAAGCCUUCUCAAACAUAUGCUGUUGCUUUACUAUUAGCAGCAACGUAUAGUCAUUCACCGAGCAACAGAGAAAAAAGUUGUGGACACCAAAACAACUUAACUAGAGAUUUCAUCUUAAAUAACAAGUUAAGUAUAAAUCAAUCUCAAUCAUGACAAUAAGAAAUCAAAUAGUAACUCUAAAUAUGCGAAUCAAUUAAAUAGCAAAAGAACGUCAGAUAUAAACAGUUCAUUUGUCAAAAUGUAUCAUCAUUUACUGAACCUUCAGCCACAAACAGAAAAACAGAGGUUCACCCAAUAACAAUGAAGGUGAUUUCCCUGAAGUUUACGAGAGACCUGUUCACAUGGGCAACAGGCCCCUGCUUUUUUCAUCAGGUUUAAGAACCAAAUCUUUAAAAAAAAUCACAAAACAAUUAUUACUUUUAAGAAUCCUACAAAAGCAAAACAAAACUAAAAUUACGCAUUCAUUCACCUAGUAUAACUUCAGUUUAAAAUAAAACCAACUAAAAAAGAAGAGAUCUGAUAAUCCUACCUUGAAGUGCACUCUGAGGUCAGAGCCUCUGGCCUUGCAGGCUGUAAAAUUGGCACAAACACCAUACUAGAUCAACAAUAAGAAAAAUUAGAUUUAAAAAUAGAAGCAGCAGGCAUCUCAGGUCCUAUACUUACACUUGGUGGAAUUUUCAG